This 71-nucleotide transfer RNA is filed under the name Bos taurus (domestic cattle). It matches the Rfam family "tRNA". From Rfam's summary of the family: Transfer RNA (tRNA) molecules are approximately 80 nucleotides in length. Their secondary structure includes four short double-helical elements and three loops (D, anti-codon, and T loops). Further hydrogen bonds mediate the characteristic L-shaped molecular structure. tRNAs have two regions of fundamental functional importance: the anti-codon, which is responsible for specific mRNA codon recognition, and the 3' end, to which the tRNAs corresponding amino acid is attached (by aminoacyl-tRNA synthetases). tRNAs cope with the degeneracy of the genetic code in two manners: having more than one tRNA (with a specific anti-codon) for a particular amino acid; and 'wobble' base-pairing, i.e. permitting non-standard base-pairing at the 3rd anti-codon position. The record is from Rfam by way of RNAcentral. RNAcentral also lists the same sequence under 1 other name. Lineage: Eukaryota; Metazoa; Chordata; Mammalia; Artiodactyla; Bovidae.
UUCCUGGUGGUCCAGUGGCUAGGACUCUAGGCUUCUAAUCUAGGGGGCCUGUUCAAUUCCUGGUUAGGGAA